Molecule: ribosomal RNA, 750 nt
Filed under: bacterium
Lineage: Bacteria
Description: bacterial SSU rRNA
Rfam family: Bacterial small subunit ribosomal RNA
Source: RNAcentral
GGGCUAGUGCGGCAUGCUUAACAUGCAGUCGAACGGCAGCACGGGUGCUUGCACCUGGUGGCGAGUGGCGAACGGGUGAGUAAUACAUCGGAACAUGUCCUGUAGUGGGGGAUAGCCCGGCGAAAGCCGGAUUAAUACCGCAUACGAUCUAAGGAUGAAAGCGGGGGACCUUCGGGCCUCGCGCUAUAGGGUUGGCCGAUGGCUGAUUAGCUAGUUGGUGGGGUAAAGGCCUACCAAGGCGACGAUCAGUAGCUGGUCUGAGAGGACGACCAGCCACACUGGGACUGAGACACGGCCCAGACUCCUACGGGAGGCAGCAGUGGGGAAUUUUGGACAAUGGGCGAAAGCCUGAUCCAGCAAUGCCGCGUGUGUGAAGAAGGCCUUCGGGUUGUAAAGCACUUUUGUCCGGAAAGAAAUCCCUGGUCCUAAUAUGGCCGGGGGAUGACGGUACCGGAAGAAUAAGCACCGGCUAACUACGUGCCAGCAGCCGCGGUAAUACGUAGGGUGCGAGCGUUAAUCGGAAUUACUGGGCGUAAAGCGUGCGCAGGCGGUUUGUUAAGACCGAUGUGAAAUCCCCGGGCUCAACCUGGGAACUGCAUUGGUGACUGGCAAGCUAGAGUAUGGCAGAGGGGGGUAGAAUUCCACGUGUAGCAGUGAAAUGCGUAGAGAUGUGGAGGAAUACCGAUGGCGAAGGCAGCCCCCUGGGCCAAUACUGACGCUCAUGCACGAAAGCGUGGGGAGCAAACAGGA